Molecule: transfer RNA, 73 nt
Filed under: Stegodyphus mimosarum
Lineage: Eukaryota; Metazoa; Arthropoda; Arachnida; Araneae; Eresidae
Rfam family: tRNA
About the family: Transfer RNA (tRNA) molecules are approximately 80 nucleotides in length. Their secondary structure includes four short double-helical elements and three loops (D, anti-codon, and T loops).
Source: Rfam by way of RNAcentral
GCCUUCGUGGUAUAGUGGUCAGCACGCUCGACGCGUAACCGAGAGAUCCGUGGUUCGAUUCCCGGCGAAGGUG